AGGGUUGUGGCUCAGUGGUAGAGCACUUGCCUUGCAGGUGUGAGGCGCUGAGUUCAAUCCUCAGCACUA
Molecule: transfer RNA, 69 nt
Filed under: Ictidomys tridecemlineatus (thirteen-lined ground squirrel)
Lineage: Eukaryota; Metazoa; Chordata; Mammalia; Rodentia; Sciuridae
Description: Spermophilus tridecemlineatus (thirteen-lined ground squirrel) tRNA
Rfam family: tRNA
About the family: Transfer RNA (tRNA) molecules are approximately 80 nucleotides in length. Their secondary structure includes four short double-helical elements and three loops (D, anti-codon, and T loops).
Source: Rfam by way of RNAcentral